GAGUUUGAUCCUGGCUCAGGAUGAACGCUAGCGGCAGGCCUAUACAUGCAAGUCGAGCGGCAAGUUGAGUAGUAAUACUUGACCUAGAGCGGCGCACGGGGCGUAACGCGUAUGCAACCUACCUUUUACUGGGGGAUAGCCCGGAGAAAUCUGGAUUAAACCCCAUAGUACCUAAGGAUCGAUUGGUUUUUAGUUUAAAGAUUUAUCGGUAAAAGAUGGCAUGCGUCUGAUUAGCUAGUUGGCGGGGUAACGGCCCACCAAGGCGACGAUCAGUAGGGUUCUGAGAGGAAGGUCCCCCACACUGGCACUGAGAUACGGGCCAGACUCCUACGGGAGCAGCAGUAGGGAAUAUUGGGCAAUGGUCGCAAGACUGACCCAGCCAUGCCGCGUGCAGGAGACGGCCCUCUGGGUUGUAAACUGCUUUUGUUUGGGAAUAAACCCUUCUACGUGUAGGGGCUGAAGGUACCUUACGAAUAAGCAUCGGCUAACUCCGUGCCAGCAGCCGCGGUAAU
This 512-nucleotide ribosomal RNA is filed under the name uncultured Sphingobacteriales bacterium. RNAcentral describes it as "bacterial SSU rRNA". It matches the Rfam family "Bacterial small subunit ribosomal RNA", at positions 9 to 524 of the family's 1533-position model. The record is from RNAcentral. Lineage: Bacteria; Pseudomonadati; Bacteroidota; Sphingobacteriia; Sphingobacteriales.